AGAACCCCGCGAGGCGAGGUGAGGGGCACCACCGAGGAAGCACCCACCGGGCUCCCGGGGCUGCCAGGCCCCGCAUUGAGGAAGUUGAAUGCCAGAUCACACUCUCUGGGCCCAGGCAGAUAGAUUCCAUUCAUCCUUUCUAAUGUCUACACCAUAUUUUGGAUAACAUGCCAUCAUCUCACAUUGUGUUGAAAGAAGAAAUCAGAAUGUUGGGGGCUGCUCAAAUAAUUAUUGGUCUGAUCCACUGUGCUCUGGGAAAAAUCUGGAUAUAUUUAUGUCUUGAUCAAUCUGCUUCAUUUUCAGCAAGCUACUUGCCUAUAGCCUUGAUAUCAGGAUUUCCACUUUUGUCAUUCUUAAUUUAUGUUAUAUCAGGAAGUUUUGCAAUAGCAGCGGAGAGGAAACCUUCCCCAAGGUUGUUGAUGUAUGCCCUAUGGAUGAAUUUUAGCAGUUUGGGUCUUUCAGCAAUUGGUUUACUUCUAACUGCAUGUGAAAUUACACUCUUUUUACUGCAAGAUGAAAUUAUUCAGUGGCCACACAAAAGUGGAAUCAUGCUUUCAAUGUAUUUGUGGAUAUUCUCCACCUUGGAGUUGGUCUUUGCAAAUACAGUGACCGGAUGGAUAAAAAAAGCAAAUAAUCAUGGCAACAAUACCAUGUAAUGUACCCAGUAACAGAGAGAGCAAAGCAAAUCUUAUCCUCAAAGAACUGCAGCUGCUUGUUAGAUCUGCCUGGUGGUUCCAUAGAGAAACUGCUCAGAGAACCUGCCUUUACCUCGCCUAAAACAGAACUAUCCCAGAGCUCAGAAAAGGAGUCCAUUCGUCCUCUAUAACUUCUAUACUAUAUCUUUGUUAAAAUGCCAAGAAGAUUUAUCCUAAAAGAAGGCACCAAAGCAAUGGGGGCACUUCGCCCUCAGAAAUCUCACUGUCGGAAUCCUUGGAAAUCACACCACACACAACUUCUAUUUCUUCAUAAUUUGCAAAGAACCAGUGUGACUCCAGUCAAGAACAAAAGAUUAACUGUGCAUUAGCAAAGAACUCUAAUUUUUUCAAGAGGCCACAUGGAAAACGCAUUCUAAUGAAGUCCUUUCCGUUGCUCUUUUUUCUCAGUUCUUCAAUAAAGCAUGCGAUUUGAUCACAAA
Macaca mulatta (Rhesus monkey) is the source of this 1135-nucleotide non-coding RNA. Lineage: Eukaryota; Metazoa; Chordata; Mammalia; Primates; Cercopithecidae. The record is from RefSeq and is a predicted model, not a curated record.